This 464-nucleotide long non-coding RNA is filed under the name Oryza sativa Indica Group (long-grained rice). Its description in RNAcentral is "lncRNA OsZS97_08G012790". The record is from RNAcentral. Lineage: Eukaryota; Viridiplantae; Streptophyta; Magnoliopsida; Poales; Poaceae.
UAAACUAUUCAUGGCAUUAAUUAUUCUUGCAGGAACUAGAAAGCCUGUGCCUACCCAGGGUGGAGGUAGCUCCUCUGGAGCGUCCACGGGCACUAAUCAGGGAGGGGACGACCCUAUAGCUACAGGCACUUCUCACCCAGUCCCAGCAGCGAGCUUCACAGGAGGGCUAGCACAGAGCAUGUCUCAUUACAUUUACACAACGUCAAUUGGUCAGGCAGACAAGGGAAAAGUGAAAGGAGAGCGCGAGUAACCAGCAAACCACCAAGGAGUACUGACAAUUUGUUGCUAUCCAUGAACGAUGCCAGAGGCUGCACAUACUCAACCCUACUGUAAAAAACUCGUGUAUAUAUACGAAUGUAAAUUUGUUCGUGUCUGAUAAGCUCGUGUGAAUAAAUAAUGGUGUAAUUUCUAGGAGCUACGCGUCGUAACAAGAUUUCCAGGAAGUCAGCAAAAUUAGGUGGAUC